GGAGGGCAGGAGGGCGGGUGGGUGCGGGAACACAGACCCGAUGCGCGAGCGGGAGCUGGCGCAGGGGAUCCGAACUGGCGAGUUCAAGUCACCUGGGAUGAGAACAGAAGUGUCAGCAGAGGACUGUAAGUGCUAUGUGAUUGGACGACGGUGGCCAUAGAAUUUCACCUGCCCAGCACGUAUUCUCUCAUCCUCUCCUCCUCUGCCUUCUUUGGGAGGGAGAAAUCAGAAGGAGUGGGGAUGCAGUUCAGAGAGCAGAGGAGAAGAGAAGAAAAGAAGGAAGAAGGAAGAGGACUAGGGUUGGGUGGGGGGGGAGGACACCAAUGGGAAGAGGGACAGAUCAACUCUAUACACAAAAGUAAAUCAAAACACCAAAAACAGGGGUCUAUGUAAAGAAGCCUCUUCCCGUGAAUUGCUCGUUGCAUAGCUGCAGGGAGGGUGUUUAGGGGCAUAGAGAAUGAAAACAUACCUGUAUUUUGGUGUAGGGAAAUUGUUUCUGUCAAUUCACACCGUCCACACACCACCUCCCACCCCAACCCCGCCACUACCAAAUUCCUCUAAAUAAAAAUAAUUAUGAGAUACAGGCCAACAAAAACGUCAGCGUUAGGCUGUUAUUUAGAGAGAAUUGGAAAGCGUUUGAAUGUGGCCCUGUUGUUUAAUAAACGAUAACAAUGAUUA
This 678-nucleotide long non-coding RNA is filed under the name Homo sapiens (human). Its description in RNAcentral is "HSALNT0407848". The record is from RNAcentral. Lineage: Eukaryota; Metazoa; Chordata; Mammalia; Primates; Hominidae.